CCUACGGGUGGCAGCAGUGAGGAAUAUUGGUCAAUGGUCGGGAGACUGAACCAGCCAAGCCGCGUGAGGGAUGAAGGUACAGAGGAUCGUAAACCUCUUUUGUCAGGGAACAAAGGCGGGGACGUGUCCCCGGAUGAGUGUACCUGAAGAAAAAGCAUCGGCUAACCCCGUGCCAGCAGCCGCGGUAAUACGGAGGAGGCGAGCGUUAUCCGGAUUUAUUGGGGUUAAAGGGUGCGCAGGCGGUCUGUUAAGUAAGCGGGCAAAGCCCGGGGGUCAACCCCGGCCUCGCGGUUGAACCGGGCAGUCGCGAGUUGGAGAGAAGGAUGCGGAAUGCGCGGUGUAGCGGUGAAAUGCAUAGAUA
Molecule: ribosomal RNA, 361 nt
Filed under: uncultured bacterium
Lineage: Bacteria
Description: partial 16S ribosomal RNA
Rfam family: Bacterial small subunit ribosomal RNA
Source: RNAcentral